GACGAACGCUGGCGGCGUGCCUAAUACAUGCAAGUCGAGCGAAAAGAUGGGGAGCUUGCUCCUCUGACGUUAGCGGCGGACGGGUGAGUAACACGUGGAUAACCUACCUAUAAGACUGGGAUAACUUCGGGAAACCGGAGCUAAUACCGGAUAAUAUAUUGAACCGCAUGGUUCAAUAGUGAAAGACGGUUUUGCUGUCACUUAUAGCUGGAUCAGCGCCGCAUUAGCUAGUUGGUAAGGUAACGGCUUACCAAGGCAACGAUGCGUAGCCGACCUGAGAGGGAGGACGGCCACACUGGAAGAGAGACAGAGUCCAGACUCCGACAGUGGGCAGCGGUCGGGAAUCUUCCGCGAUGGGGGAAUGCCGGACAGAGCAACGCCGCGUGAAGGAUGAAGGUCUUCGGAUCGUAAAGUUCUGUUAUUAGGAAAGAACAAAUGUGUAAGUAACUAUGCACGUCUUGACGGUACCGAAUCAGAAAGCCACGGCUAACUACGUG
RNAcentral lists this ribosomal RNA (497 nucleotides) under uncultured bacterium. RNAcentral describes it as "partial 16S ribosomal RNA". It matches the Rfam family "Bacterial small subunit ribosomal RNA", at positions 28 to 507 of the family's 1533-position model. The record is from RNAcentral.